Molecule: long non-coding RNA, 371 nt
Organism: Dermacentor albipictus
Lineage: Eukaryota; Metazoa; Arthropoda; Arachnida; Ixodida; Ixodidae
Source: RefSeq, a predicted model, not a curated record
CACUCGGCACUACACAACACCGCGAUUUGGCUAUAAAUGCGUUGCCUACGUAGUAAACAGCGUUAAACACUCUUAGAAUAUACGGAGAAAAAGCUUUUUGAAGAAGAUAAACUUUUUUUGAAGCAACAUGGACAAGCCGGCAUGCAAAUGCGGAGAUCCCAAGUGCGUGUGCACCACACAGUGCAAGUGUGCCACCGGCGGAUGCCCCUGUGGCAGGUGCAAGAAGUAGCAGCUCGCCUGGGAGACUCCGGUGCUUGAACCAUGGACGUUUCAAGUCGGCCUCAAACAUGAACGGGCGCGGCAAAGAAAAAAAAAUGAAAUGCAGUAGCUAUUCUUGUUUUGAGAGCCAAUAAAAAAAGAAAGAAAAUGUA